AAAUCUACUGGAAGAGAAAGCAGGUAAAAAUCGUAAACCUUGCUCUCACUACAAACUAAACAUCAGGGCGACUGUGUGACUGACACUGAGUUGCCUUGGGAAGAUAAUUCACUUCAAACAGUCUCACUUACCCUCUGAACAAAGGUAACUUAGGAAGUUCUGGCUCAGUGUGUGUUACUAUGACAUCAUUCUGGGGAACGCAGGGAACACCUAGGGCUCACUUCGGCAGCUCAAACACUGAAGUAGGAAAACAUGGAAAGACACGAAGAGGAGAAAAGAGAGAGCUACAUUACGUGGAUGUAAUACAGAAAUGGAACUUUCUGAAUAUGAUGUCAUAAUGUCUGUACAUUAUCCGUUUUACAACUAGCCUGAGACUUCUUCAUCAGCUAUGCGCUGCAGAACAGCAAAGCAAAAAUCUGAACUCAAUCAAAGCUGAAAACUCUAAUCUUAGUAGAGGUGGAUAAAAUAUAGUCCACUUGUUAUAUAUUAUAUUUACUAUUUCUUUUAGCACUAAAAUAAAGCUUAAGUUACAUGUGUGUUUUCAAAUGUUCUAUCAGGAGGGCAAUUCAAGGAGUUCAGUUAUGGAUAAUCCAUUUUU
RNAcentral lists this long non-coding RNA (598 nucleotides) under Chinchilla lanigera (long-tailed chinchilla). RNAcentral's name for it is "lncRNA (ENSCLAG00000022464.1)". The record is from RNAcentral. Lineage: Eukaryota; Metazoa; Chordata; Mammalia; Rodentia; Chinchillidae.